GGGUUGUGAGGUUAAGCGACUAAGCGUACACGGUGGAUGCCCUGGCAGUCAGAGGCGAUGAAGGGCGUGCUAAUCUGCGAUAAGCGCCGGUAAGGUGAUAUGAACCGUUAUAACCGGCGAUACCCGAAUGGGGAAACCCAGUGUGAUUCGUCACACUAUCAUUAACUGAAUCCAUAGGUUAAUGAGGCGAACCGGGGGAACUGAAACAUCUAAGUACCCCGAGGAAAAGAAAUCAACCGAGAUUCCCCCAGUAGCGGCGAGCGAACGGGGAGGAGCCCAGAGCCUGAAUCAGCAUGUGUGUUAGUGGAAGCGUCUGGAAAGGCGCGCGAUACAGGGUGACAGCCCCGUACACAAAAGCGCAUGUGCUGUGAGCUCGAUGAGUAGGGCGGGACACGUGGUAUCCUGUCUGAAUAUGGGGGGACCAUCCUCCAAGGCUAAAUACUCCUGACUGACCGAUAGUGAACCAGUACCGUGAGGGAAAGGCGAAAAGAACCCCGGCGAGGGGAGUGAAAAAGAACCUGAAACCGUGUACGUACAAGCAGUGGGAGCNNGGGCGUUAAGUUGCAGGGUAUAGACCCGAAACCCGGUGAUCUAGCCAUGGGCAGGUUGAAGGUUGGGUAACACUAACUGGAGGACCGAACCGACUAAUGUUGAAAAAUUAGCGGAUGACCUGUGGCUGGGGGUGAAAGGCCAAUCAAACCGGGAGAUAGCUGGUUCUCCCCGAAAGCUAUUUAGGUAGCGCCUCGUGAAUUCAUCUCCGGGGGUAGAGCACUGUUUCGGCUAGGGGGCCAUCCCGGCUUACCAACCCGAUGCAAACUGCGAAUACCGGAGAAUGUUAUCACGGGAGACACACGGCGGGUGCUAACGUCCGUCGUGAAGAGGGAAACAACCCAGACCGCCAGCUAAGGUCCCAAAGUCAUGGUUAAGUGGGAAACGAUGUGGGAAGGCCCAGACAGCCAGGAUGUUGGCUUAGAAGCAGCCAUCAUUUAAAGAAAGCGUAAUAGCUCACUGGUCGAGUCGGCCUGCGCGGAAGAUGUAACGGGGCUAAACCAUGCACCGAAGCUGCGGCAGCGANNUGCUGGAGGUAUCAGAAGUGCGAAUGCUGACAUAAGUAACGAUAAAGCGGGUGAAAAGCCCGCUCGCCGGAAGACCAAGGGUUCCUGUCCAACGUUAAUCGGGGCAGGGUGAGUCGACCCCUAAGGCGAGGCCGAAAGGCGUAGUCGAUGGGAAACGGGUUAAUAUUCCCGUACUUGGUGUUACUGCGAAGGGGGGACGGAGAAGGCUAUGUUGGCCGGGCGACGGUUGUCCCGGUUUAAGCGUGUAGGUGUGUGUUCCAGGUAAAUCCGGUUCACUUUAACACUGAGGCGUGACGACGAGGCACUACGGUGCUGAAGCAACAAAUGCCCUGCUUCCAGGAAAAGCCUCUAAGCAUCAGGUAACAUCAAAUCGUACCCCAAACCGACACAGGUGGUCAGGUAGAGAAUACCAAGGCGCUUGAGAGAACUCGGGUGAAGGAACUAGGCAAAAUGGUGCCGUAACUUCGGGAGAAGGCACGCUGACACGUAGGUGAAGUGAUUUACUCAUGGAGCUGAAGUCAGUCGAAGAUACCAGCUGGCUGCAACUGUUUAUUAAAAACACAGCACUGUGCAAACACGAAAGUGGACGUAUACGGUGUGACGCCUGCCCGGUGCCGGAAGGUUAAUUGAUGGGGUCAGCGCAAGCGAAGCUCCUGAUCGAAGCCCCGGUAAACGGCGGCCGUAACUAUAACGGUCCUAAGGUAGCGAAAUUCCUUGUCGGGUAAGUUCCGACCUGCACGAAUGGCGUAAUGAUGGCCAGGCUGUCUCCACCCGAGACUCAGUGAAAUUGAACUCGCUGUGAAGAUGCAGUGUACCCGCGGCAAGACGGAAAGACCCCGUGAACCUUUACUAUAGCUUGACACUGAACAUUGAGCCUUGAUGUGUAGGAUAGGUGGGAGGCUUUGAAGUGUGGACGCCAGUCUGCAUGGAGCCGACCUUGAAAUACCACCCUUUAAUGUUUGAUGUUCUAACGUGGACCCGUAAUCCGGGUUGCGGACAGUGUCUGGUGGGUAGUUUGACUGGGGCGGUCUCCUCCUAAAGAGUAACGGAGGAGCACGAAGGUUGGCUAAUCCUGGUCGGACAUCAGGAGGUUAGUGCAAUGGCAUAAGCCAGCUUGACUGCGAGCGUGACGGCGCGAGCAGGUGCGAAAGCAGGUCAUAGUGAUCCGGUGGUUCUGAAUGGAAGGGCCAUCGCUCAACGGAUAAAAGGUACUCCGGGGAUAACAGGCUGAUACCGCCCAAGAGUUCAUAUCGACGGCGGUGUUUGGCACCUCGAUGUCGGCUCAUCACAUCCUGGGGCUGAAGUAGGUCCCAAGGGUAUGGCUGUUCGCCAUUUAAAGUGGUACGCGAGCUGGGUUUAGAACGUCGUGAGACAGUUCGGUCCCUAUCUGCCGUGGGCGCUGGAGAACUGAGGGGGGCUGCUCCUAGUACGAGAGGACCGGAGUGGACGCAUCACUGGUGUUCGGGUUGUCAUGCCAAUGGCACUGCCCGGUAGCUAAAUGCGGAAGAGAUAAGUGCUGAAAGCAUCUAAGCACGAAACUUGCCCCGAGAUGAGUUCUCCCUGAGACUUAGAGUCUCCUGAAGGAACGUUGAAGACGACGACGUUGAUAGGCCGGGUGUGUAAGCGCAGCGAUGCGUGG
This 2715-nucleotide ribosomal RNA is filed under the name Salmonella enterica subsp. enterica serovar Typhimurium. RNAcentral describes it as "partial 23S ribosomal RNA". It matches the Rfam family "Bacterial large subunit ribosomal RNA". The record is from RNAcentral. Lineage: Bacteria; Pseudomonadati; Pseudomonadota; Gammaproteobacteria; Enterobacterales; Enterobacteriaceae.